RNAcentral lists this antisense RNA (189 nucleotides) under Solanum tuberosum (potato). Its description in RNAcentral is "Antisense RNA which regulates isiA expression". It matches the Rfam family "Antisense RNA which regulates isiA expression". The record is from Rfam by way of RNAcentral. Lineage: Eukaryota; Viridiplantae; Streptophyta; Magnoliopsida; Solanales; Solanaceae.
UAUAUAUAUAUAUGAUACUCAGGCUAAGGGUCAAGUUGAUAAUUUUUCUUAUAUCUCCCCCCCCCCCCCCCCCUUCGAAGCCUAGGUAUCAUAUACACGUCCAAAAUAAAGAGCUUUGACAAGAAGAAAAGCACCAAUACCUAUUAAGUGAAUAUCUAAAAUUGUGAUCAUUUUAUUUCGAUCUUUUCG